This 253-nucleotide ribosomal RNA is filed under the name uncultured bacterium. RNAcentral describes it as "partial 16S ribosomal RNA". It matches the Rfam family "Bacterial small subunit ribosomal RNA", at positions 524 to 776 of the family's 1533-position model. The record is from RNAcentral.
UACGGAGGAUGCAAGCGUUAUCCGGAAUGAUUGGGCGUAAAGCGUCCGCAGGUGGCUAUGUAAGUCUGCUGUUAAAGAGUGGGGCUCAACCUCAUAAGAGCAGUGGAAACUACAUGGCUAGAGUGCGUUCGGGGCAGAGGGAAUUCCUGGUGUAGCGGUGAAAUGCGUAGAGAUCAGGAAGAACACCGGUGGCGAAAGCGCUCUGCUAGGCCGCAACUGACACUCAUGGACGAAAGCUAGGGGAGCGAAUGGG